UCUCCCUCGCCCUCUCCCUCUCCCUCUCUCCCUCUCUCUCAAUCUCGCUGCCGUUCUCGUGGGCUCAACAGGUUGACAACCCUAAAAGGCCUCUCUCUCUCUCUCUCUCUCUCUCUCUCUCUCUCUCUCUCUCUCUCCUUCUGUCAAUCUCUCUUCCUCUCGAUCGGACUAGUAGCUACGCUCAACUGCAACAGCCUGGUAACCUAUCUUUACGCUCAGGGGUUUGAAUCUAUUGAGCGCAUUGACGAACGGGGUUGAGAUAUGGGCCACAAUAUGGAUUGGGAAUGAACUGAAGGGCUCCUCCAUUGAACAAUCCCAACCAUCUAAUCAGUAUACUUGCCUCCUAUCGCAUAUUAUGUGUUGAGCCUAUUGGUCAUAUUUCCAUUUUAAUUGUACAUUUAUAGGAAAGUCAUUGACUGG
Magnolia sinica is the source of this 420-nucleotide long non-coding RNA. RefSeq lists it as uncharacterized. The record is from RefSeq and is a predicted model, not a curated record. The transcript is spliced from 2 exons. NCBI's taxonomy places the organism in Eukaryota, Viridiplantae, Streptophyta, Magnoliopsida, Magnoliales, Magnoliaceae.